Molecule: ribosomal RNA, 212 nt
Filed under: uncultured bacterium
Lineage: Bacteria
Description: partial 16S ribosomal RNA
Rfam family: Bacterial small subunit ribosomal RNA
Source: RNAcentral
AGUUCGGAUUGUAGUCUGCAACUCGACUACAUGAAGCCGGAAUCGCUAGUAAUCGCGGAUCAGAAUGCCGCGGUGAAUACGUUCCCGGGUCUUGUACACACCGCCCGUCACACCAUGGGAGCCGGAAAUGCCCGAAGUCAGUGACCCAACCAAUAAGGAGGGAGCUGCCGAAGGCAGGUCUGGUGACUGGGGUGAAGUCGUAACAAGGUAUC